GUUUUGAAAAUUUAUUUCUUCAUAAAAGUGGCAAACCAGUAUCAGAUUUUGACACCUUGAUACGGAUCAACCAGGAAUACUGAUUGGAUCAAAAACAAAAACACAGGCUACGGCUAAUUAAUUAUAAAUUGAUUCUUUUUUAAGAUGAAAGUCAAAAAGCAAAGCCAUGACCACAACCAGUGUGGCCCCAUGGCAUCUCUUCCCAUCUUGACUGGUGACUGUAACAAUCUGUACCAGUGUGGCCCCAUGGCAUCUCUUCCCAUCUUGACUGGUGACUGUAACAAUCUGUACCAGUGUGGCCCCAUGGUAUCUCUUCCCAUCUUGACUGGUGACUGUAACAAUCUGUACCAGUGUGGCCCCAUGGCAUCUCUUCCCAUCUUGACUGGUGACUGUACUAAUCUGUUGCUUUAUUCUUAAAUUCAAACCUCACCCUGGAAAAUGUGGCUUCAUGCAAGUGCGUAAAGUGUCGUCGCAGAUGAGCCUGUGCAAAGUGCAUAAAGUGUCGUCGCAGAUGAGCCUGUGCAAAGUGCGUAAAGUGUCAUCGCAGAUGAGCAUGUGCAAAGUGCAUAAAGUGUCAUCGCAGAUGAGCCUGUUCAGUCAGCACAUGUCAAUUUGGGACGACUUUUUGUACAGAAAAGACACCCUUUUAGGAUGAACCGGGAGCACCAAGAAGGACCGGCAACAACUGGCGCGGCACGGGGAACAAACGGGACUGCACCAGGACCGUACCGGGAUGGUACAUCGGUAAACCGACGCUCUGCUGGGAUCCCAUCGGCAUUCACCGGGGCUCUGGCGAACACUGGGGUUAAGCCGGGAUGUUGCCGUAGCUCUGCCGGGGUCUGAUGCCGGUAUAGCCCUGGUGAGUGACAGUGAAAGUAGGGUUUACCGGUGCUCUGCCGGCUUUCACCAGGGCUCCACCUGGGCAUUAUCUGCAACAACCGGGGCUCUGCCGGGGCUUCACCGGGAUGAACUGUUGCUAGUCUGGGGUUGACCAGGACUCUGCCAAAAUGUUGACCGGCUUCAACCGAGGUGGCACCAGGAAAAAGUGUGACGGCAUUAAAAAUAAAUUAUGAAUCAUCCCGUUUUUUUCCGGUUGACCGGCGUGAGCAAACGGGGAUGGAAGCCGGGGCUCUACUGGCAAUAGUGAGACUUGGGCAUAACUUAAGUAUGAAAUGUCACCAUUGCUAUUUGGUUUAUCUACACUUGAACUUAUGCCAAAAACAUAGUACUUUACGCUCAUACUGUUAUAAAAUGAAUGCCUCUUUAAAUAAUCAAAACUAGCUUUCAGAGAUAUUACAUCCACAUUAUAUUAUGUUAUAUAUAUAUAUCAAUGAUCAAUUGUAUUGACGUUUUUGUAUCAAUUUAUAACAAUA
Dreissena polymorpha is the source of this 1373-nucleotide long non-coding RNA. RefSeq lists it as uncharacterized. The record is from RefSeq and is a predicted model, not a curated record. The transcript is spliced from 2 exons. Lineage: Eukaryota; Metazoa; Mollusca; Bivalvia; Myida; Dreissenidae.